CAAUCCUACGGGGGGCAGCAGUGAGGAAUAUUGGUCAAUGGGCAAGAGCCUGAACCAGCCAAGUCGCGUGAAGGAUGACGGCCCUACGGGUUGUAAACUUCUUUUGUCAGGGAGCAAUUGGGUCCACGCGUGGGCUUAGCGAGAGUACCUGAAGAAAAAGCAUCGGCUAACUCCGUGCCAGCAGCCGCGGUAAUACGGAGGAUGCGAGCGUUAUCCGGAUUUAUUGGGUUUAAAGGGUGCGUAGGCGGACAGUCAAGUCAGCGGUAAAAAUGCGGUGCUCAACGCCGUACAGCCGUUGAAACUGG
Molecule: ribosomal RNA, 305 nt
Filed under: uncultured bacterium
Lineage: Bacteria
Description: bacterial SSU rRNA
Rfam family: Bacterial small subunit ribosomal RNA
Source: RNAcentral